CCUACGGGUGGCAGCAGUGGGGAAUCUUCCGCAAUGGGCGAAAGCCUGAUGGAGCAACGCCGCGUGAGCGAAUGAAGGCCUUCGGGUUGUAAAGAUCUGUUGUCAGGGACGAAUAAGCAAUGCGAAUAGUUUUGUGUAUGACGGUACCUGUUUAGAAAGCUCCGGCUAACUACGUGCCAGCAGCCGCGGGAAUUCGUAGGGUGCAAGCGUUUGCCGGAAUUACUGGGCGUAAAGGGCGUGUAGGUGGGGGCAUAAGUUCGGUGGGAAAACUCCGGGCUCAACCGGGAGACUGCACUUGAAACUGUGUGUCUUGAGGGCAGAAGAGGAAAGUGGAAUUCCUGGUGUAGCGGUGAAAUGCGUAGAUAUUAGGAGGAACACCAGUGGCGAAGGCGGCUUUCUGGACUGUAACUGACGCUGAGGCGCGAAAGCAUGGGUAGCGAACGGGAUUAGAUACCCGGGUAGUC
Molecule: ribosomal RNA, 464 nt
Filed under: uncultured bacterium
Lineage: Bacteria
Description: partial 16S ribosomal RNA
Rfam family: Bacterial small subunit ribosomal RNA
Source: RNAcentral